UUUUUUAAAAAACAUUUAGACUGUUUGGGAUACAGUCUGAAUUUUAAUAAUGUAGAUAUUGUUUAUCUGAUUUUUUUUAAUAAUAUAGAUAUUGUUUAUCUGAUUUUUUUUUUAAAAAAAUAUAGAUAUUUUUUAUUAUUAUUAUUUUUAUUUAUUUUUUGUUUGGCAACAAGUUUGGAGUCAUGUUUUUUUAAAAAAGUUUAGUCUGUUUGGGAUACAGUCUGAAUUUUAAUAAUAUAGAUAUUGUUUAUCUGAUUUUUUUUAAUAAUAUAGAUAUUGUUUAUCUGAUUUUUAAUAAUAAUAUAAAUCCAUCCCUUUUAAUAAUAUAGAUAUUGUUUAUCUGAUUUUUUUUUUCUUUUUGAAAAUAUAUAAUAAUCUUAGUUACUUUUCAUAUAAACAUUUACGAUAUUCUAAUGAUAAAAUUUAAGGAAAAUUAUGAUAAUGGUCUAUAACGAAAUAAAAUAUUUUAAAGAAAAAAAAUUAGUCUAAAAAUAAAUUAAUAAAAAUAUAAUAAUAUUUUUGAGAAAAUAGCAAAAAUCAACUUAGACUAUUUGCUGAUGGUAUUUUAACCCAAACUACGAUACCCG
RNAcentral lists this long non-coding RNA (587 nucleotides) under Capsella rubella. RNAcentral describes it as "long non-coding RNA (CRUB_LNC002582)". Lineage: Eukaryota; Viridiplantae; Streptophyta; Magnoliopsida; Brassicales; Brassicaceae. The record is from RNAcentral.